CUUCCGGCAAGGUUUCCGUCGCAAUACUCGUCGGUCAUCUGGAGGAACACGGCGGCGCAGUGCAGCGCCGCCACGUUGUGAACGGUGAUCUCGAAGUUAACGCCGUAACAGAAUUUCGCGGCUUUCUCAAAAGCUUCUUGUCCUCCAGGUAUGUUGGAAAUCUCUAUUCUUGUUAGGUCACUCUCCUCUGAUUCCAUUAUCACUUUUCUGAUGUAGUUACUCUUAGCCGCCAGAAUAAACUGUAAUGAAAAAAAAUUCAAUACUUAAUUAAAAUUCAUCACACGAAAUCACAGAAAUAGAUAUAUACAGAGAAUAAUCACGAAUCACGAACCACGAACAUGUUACCAACAAAACAUACAACAAUAUAUUGGUACCUUAUGGAGAGAAAAAGUGGAUUCUCCAACUGCAACAAUAACAUCGGUUGGGAUUUCUGGGGAGAAAACCCUGCAAGAAUAAUUGAUUGAUGAAAUUGAUUCUUACAAUAAUUAACUAACAUAAACACAUGUGACUAAAUGAUUUCAUGAAAUUGUGCAAUGGAGAAGAAAUAAUUGAUUAAGCUUUGAGAUUGAAAAUGAAGGAGUGGAGUGGGUGUUUACCAUUGCCCGGUUCUCUCCAUGGCAAGGGAGAAUCUGGUAGGGUUGGGGGUUGCCAUGGACUGAUGUAGUUGCUUUUUUUCGUGGUCUGAAUUGGAUUAGGGGUUUGAGAGUAACAGCAUGUUAUUAUAUGGUGUGCUUAGCUGUUGUUAUAAGGGGAUUUUUGAUCCCCGUAGAUUCAUUUCAUUAUUAUGAUUGUUAUCUUGUUAUGAGUUGAGGUUGUCACUGUGGUCCAUGUCUGUCAUGUUUCCUUUUUCCUCAGUUGUUGUUAUCUUAUUUAUCCUUUCAUUAAAGUGAUUCCUUUUUGAGCUGAGAGUAUCUAUCAUACCAUAAAUCUUUAAUUAGGACAGUUCAUGGAUUUUUUUUAUUCCAAAAGGCAGUAAGACUGUUCAUAGAUAUGAAGAGAUUAAAAAAAGGUGAAUAUGUGAUUAAAUAGUUAAUUUGUCAAGAUAAGAAAAAAAAAGUAAAUUAUAAAAGUAAUAUAAAAAUGAGCAAAAAAAGUUUUUAUCCCUCAAAAUAUUUUAGAAUGUUAGCUUUAGUUCUUAUAAAAAUUUAAUAUUUUUUAGGUCUAUAUUUUUAUUAAAAGUAAAGUAAUUUUAGUCUUUCAUAGAGAAAAAAAACAUGUUUAUAGAUAAAUGUAAGGAAAAAAAUAUAUUAAUUUUUUUAUAAAGAUUAAAAUUAAUAUUUAAAAUAUUUUGAAUGACAUUCGAUUGAAAUUUAUUAUAUAUACUGCAUCAUUACUCUAAGCUAAUGAUAUUCAAGUCUUUAAUUUUCUUAUUUUAGGAGACACUAUAAUUAAGGUGAUUCAAGAUUAUUAUGAUUUCAAAUAAUUUCUAUUCAACUCUAAUUAAAUAUUAUUAAUUCAUUUUUAUAAAUUAUAACUUGAAUAUGUGUGAUAUAAAAAUUGAUUAAAAUCAUAACACAAAAUAGUGUAAUUAAGAUUAUCUAAUAGUUUUUCAGUAUGUAUUUUAGUUACCAGUCACAGUCAGGGAAAAAUUAUUCAGCAAUAAGUCCAAUGCUAGCUAGGUCUCAGCGUGUGAGAAGUAACCAUUUGGCGUUUUGAAUUCAACUAAUGUUCAUACUUCAUAGGCUAUUGACCGCAAAGCCGAACCACACGGUUAAUCCGCUAGUUAGCUGCUUCCAUGCAAGUGGGAAGUUUGAAAUUGCCAGUUAACAACGACAAUUUUUUCGGUAGCUAUUCGAUAAUUUUAUUAUUCUCGUUCUUUGACUGAGAUUGUCUUACUUUCUUAUCUGUUUCCUUUUUCUUCAAUCUGCAUUAAUUUUCCUUUUUAAACUUGCAGAAUUAAUUUUCCUUUAAUUUUUUUCUUCACAUAAUUUUUAUAUGGGAGCUUGGAAAUGAUCCAGUUUGUUGUUCUAUACUGCUUGCCUAAUCAGAGUACACACGGACUGGUUAACUAGUUAUUAUUGAUUCAAAAAAGAUAAAUGAAUGUUUUUUUUAACAAUUAACACUAAGUAAAGAUUUAGAAUACCAUUGUUGAAGUUCAAAUAGAAACGCUAUUGAUUGCUGAAAGUUGGUGGUUGUCUAUAUAGGUGGUCAAUGAGUUUCAUUAAAGGCUACUAAUCUUAGUUAGGCCUCACAUUUGCCCCUCAAAAAGAAAGAAAAACAUUAGGGCAUACAAAAAAGACAGUUCUUCCUUUAUUUUCCCCAUGAGAAUAAGACUUUAAAAGACACUGAAGAAAUAUAUAUAUUGGCAUUUUAACAUUUACAAAGGAGGGGGAAAAAAAGCUCGUUAUAUAAUACUUCGGUGGUUUAACAUUUUAGUGAAAGUUUACACUUUGAAUAGCAAGCAAGGGAGAAAAGAUGAAAAGAAAAAACAAAUAAAAUAAAAUCCUUGCAUACAUAUAUUUCGGAGGAGUCAUUGCAUCAUUAAGUCCUUGCGACAACAUGAUCUUUUUUUGUUUUACCAUCUCCAUCUUGUUAGAUUUUGUCAUUAGUACUGUGUUAUAUAUUAUGCUCGUUGUUUCACCUCCUCAAUAAUAAGUUAUAAUAACUGAUAUGAUUUUGAGGUUACAAAUAUAUAAUAACAAAACAGGAAUUCACUUUAAUCACAUGUCGUCGGUUAAUGUUCACCUCAUCAUCAAUUUAAAACAUUGAGUGUGACAAAAUGUUCCUCUCGUUAAUUAUCCUAGCUCGAUGAAGUAUCAAAAGUGAUAAAAAGAAAAUAUGUAUACCAAAAGCAAUUAAAUGUAGGGCAGCAAUGUGGAGCUUGAUGUUAUAUGUUCAAAUUUAAUGGCACCAUGUGUGCACCACUGUAAAAGGAAAAGAAAAUGCAUACCAAUUCAUGAGCACCACAUAUAAAAUUCAAACCUAAAAACUAUAACAACGGAGUAUAUGGAUCUAGCUUAAUUAGCAAAGAUGUGUAAAAAAAAACCUUAAUUACCAAAGAAACUUAGAAGGGAUAUAUAUAUACAGAACAUAUUCUUUAAAAAAAUAAACAAAAAAAUGAAAAACUUAUUGUUCAUUUAAACUUAAGUUUUAGUCGAUCAUAUAUACUUAUUUGUUAUAGUUCUAUAAUACAAUACUUCUGGCUAUUAGCUACUUAAAAAAUGAUCACACAAUAUUUUGGGAAUUUUAUCAAAUUAGUGAAAUUACUAUAUAUAUAUAUAUAUAUAUAUAUAUAUAUAUAUAUGCAUGUAUGUAUGCUCUUUCUAUACUUACAAAUAUAUAGUAUAUAUAGAAUUAAAAGUUGUGAAAGUGUUAAGAACCAAAACACGUAAAAAAAAUUAAACUUAAAAAAUAGUUGUAGUUGUGAGAUUAACUGAUUAAGGAUCCAUUUGUUUUAUUGUUUUAAAUUUUUUUGUAUGUUAUUAAGAUGUAUAUUAAAAUUAAUUUAAUAAGAAAAUUUUCAUUUAGAAAAUUAAUUAUAUAUGAUAAAUUAGUUUGAUAAAAACUGUAUAAAAUGAAACUUAAAAAUACUGAGUUGUGAUUGAUUAAGUAUCCAAUAGCUUUAAAACUAACUCAAAUCAAUUUUAAACAACUUUUUGAGAGGUUAACAUUGAAAUUAAAUUAAUUUAAUUGUAAAUUUAACAUUUAAAAAAAUAUAUAAUACAAUGAAAAAUAACAAUAAUAAUGAAGCAUUGGGUGGAAGAUGGCGAUGGGACGUAAAGUGCAUGGAAUGGGAGCUAGGAAUUGAAACGGGAACAUGCAUAUGCAUGUAUGUGAAUUCAACAAGUUGUUUGUUGAGUUAGGGCAGCGUGUCUCCGCCACUCAAUCAAACGAGUGAUUCUGAUGCUUUAAUAUGUACGGCAUCUCUGAUACUAGGAUACAGAUCCGCCACGUCAUCCUUACACUGCACCUUGUCUCCCUGGGUCUCCACCAUCUUUCUUAUCCAUUAUUAAUGAUAUUUAUACACCUUUUCUUAUAUUAUUUUUGGAGAUCUCUCUUUUUUUGUGAUUGGACAAUACUAACACUUCUAAUUUAAUUUCAUGACUAUUUCUUAAUGUUAUAGUGAAAUCCAUCAAGAUAAUUUUUUAUAAAUUUUAAUCGACUACAGAAAAAAAUAUUAAAUAUAAAGUGUCAAAAAAUGUUAACAUUGCUAGCAUUAAUUCCUGAUGCAUAUAAUAAUUAAAUUUAGAAAAUAAAUUAUUUUUAAAUUAUCAUUUAAUCCCAAAAUAUUAUAUAUAAUAAUUAUUUUGAAAAUUACAUUAAUGAUCGAAUUUUGAUUAAUUAAUCAUAUAAAAGUUUUUACAUUUUGCUAUUGCACAGUGAUUAAACUCUUUGAAAUAACAAAGUGAAGACAUAUAUGUUGUAAUAUAUUUAUAAUUAAAAUAAUAUAAAAAAUUAGACGUCCAAAUUUAUUUUUCAAAUUAUUCCACCUCAAAAUUAUUCAACAGACUCUGACUUUUUUUUUUAUUUUAGGAAGAGAUGAUUCCGACUUUAUAACUCAUUUAUGCUACGUAUAUCAAGCUUUUUUGUUGAAUAAAGUGGAGAGAUGGAAAAUAAGUAGUACUGUCUCAAAAGUGAAGAGAAAAGUCAAAUGGUGGAAUGAGUGUGCUUUUUUUUUUUUUGGAAAAAGAUCAAAUUGUUCUCAUCUUUUAUAUAUAUAUAUAUAAUAAAAUUAUAUACAAUAUAGUAAUACUAAUAUUGGAUGUUUUCAUCUCUGACAAUAUAUAAGACAUUUUCUUCAAAUAACAAAAAAACAAGUUUGACCAACCUAAAAAGUCAGUAGCUCGCAUAAGUCAUAUUUUGUUGUGUUCAAAUUGGUGAAAAAUGAGAAAAUUCUACAAUAUUUUGGUAGAUCUUACACUUUUCUCUCUACUUUAAUUUAAAUAUUUAUUCUUCAUUUCAUUUUUUUAUUCUCUGUCAACUAAACUUAUCCAUAUGAUUGGGUUUAGACAUUAAUUUAGAAUAUUGAAUUGAAAACAGGUUUUUUUUAGCCCGGAUCGAUGUAAUUAACCUGCAACCCGCAGGCUAACCCGCCUUGGACUCGGUUGGUAGUCCAAGAAACAACAAUCCAUGCCCCCAAAGAUUGUGGCUUAGCAAGGCAUGUGUGGUUACUCCCCUUUCUCAAGAUCAACAUGAUUCAUAUCUCGUAGAUGACUUGAAUUCAAGGCUUGGUAACCACACCAAGCAUUCUAUAGAUAAAAAUUGGCAUACUUCAUUUGGUUUUACCAUUCGAGCCAUUGAAGAAACAAAAAACAAGUGAAUGUUAGUCAAGAUUAAACUAACUAGUGUUUUAAAAUUAAAAAAUGGUCAUUUAUUCAAUCAGAAUAUUAGCUAAAAAUAAUAAUUUCUUCCGAUCCAG
Molecule: long non-coding RNA, 5359 nt
Filed under: Glycine max (soybean)
Lineage: Eukaryota; Viridiplantae; Streptophyta; Magnoliopsida; Fabales; Fabaceae
Description: long non-coding RNA (GMAX_LNC003286)
Source: RNAcentral